AUUAAAAUUAUUAUUCAAACAGCUUUUUACAUUUAAAUGACCCUUCAAAAAUGUGAGGUUUUCAUUGUUGCAGACAUGGGACACAUUUGUCACAACAUUUUAAGAACGACCAAGCUAGUAAUGUUAAAUGAAUGUAAUUGCGAAUGGCCAACCAUUUAUAUAUUUUUUAGGUGCAGUGAAAUAUGUUGUUUUACAAGGUCAGCCAUAGUAUUACGGCGCCCUUGAAUGUCUUGUUCAAGGGCACAUUGACAGAUGUUUCACCUCGUCGGCUCAGGUAUUCAAACCAGCGACCUUCCGGGUUACUGGCCCAACGUUAACACGUCUGUAAUUUUCGUCCAUCCAAACUGUGCUCAAAAUUCUUAUUGAGGCCUAAACAGGAAUGCAGAAACGACAAGACGCCUGAGCAGAAAUGCAAUAUAAUCUGUGAAAAAAAAAUGUUUUGUUAACGGGAUCUGUGGGGGGAAAAAUGAUUUGUUAACGACAGUGUGUGUUCUAUGCUGUUUCCGAUGUGUUCUUAGAGGCACCGAUGGUUUGGUCAGCAGAGUUACACCAGUUGUACUGGGUCCCUUAUUCUUCUCUGUCGGUGGUUUCUUUGACAGUGGGAGUGGGCUUCAGUCCUACAGCCUGGAGGGAGGAAUAAACAAACACCUUUGGGAGAGAGGAGAGAGAAAGAAAGAAAGAGGGAGAGAAAGGAGACAGACUGCUAGUGAUGGGGGAGGGGAGAGAAGAGAAGGAGAGUCAUGAGACAGGAAAUGUCUGUGUUCCCCUGGGGGAGCGUCAGAGAGAAUCUGCAGGAUAAGAAAAAAAUAAGACAAAAUCCUUGUGUCCAUGACAACUUACAACUCAUCUUCGAUGAAGAGCGAGAUGCUGGCGAAUGUGCCCGAAGGAGCGAAAAGAGAACCACUGAAAUCAAGCGAAAAUCUGAAAGUAAAAUUUGUGUUACUGUGGCGCAAUCAAGGCAAAUGCAAGUGGCAGGCGACACCAUGGAUGUUCGUUGGGGUAGUGUGAAUGGAAAAUCGGUCAUUGUGGGAAGGGUUUGCUAAAUCUGACCCUGGCUGCUACAAGACAAGCAAGUGUGAAAUUCAUAUGAAAGAACCGAAUGGAUAAAAAAUACAUCCUGGAAUGGCAAGAUUCCCCAUGGGCAGGCACCUUCAUUUUGCUAGUAUUGAGAGAGAUGUUGUCUUUACUGGCACCUGAUUUAUCCAAUGAGAUUGCAAUGGGAGCCUCAGCAAAUGGGUGUCAAAUUGGAGGAGAGAAAUCCGUUAAACAAUGGAGUAACGUUUUACUGAAGGUAAGGCAUGUUGCUUUACAUAAUUAAGACAUAUAUUUUCUUAUUUUAUUACAGAACUUGUGGCAUUUUUCAAUAUCGAGCCUGUUCAUCAUGUCUUCAGUCUCAUGGGCCUGCAGCCUAAGACUUGAGCUCUUAUUUAUAAUGAGACACAGAUGUCAGGCAGAUACAGCAUGUCUGUGAGCAGUGCUGCAUGUCCUCCUCUCUAUAGAAUAGCCCAUGGUUUAGGUGUGGUCUUUCAGAUGGUUUUCUUCACCGAGAGAAUAGAGCAUUCUAUUACUAGCACACCACUCUGCUGCUGUUUCUGUAUCUCUUCUGAACAUAUUUCUUGGAAAUGUUACACACACCGCACACUGCUUGCUGUGCAGUCAUGUGUAGACACUCCAUGUCGACACUCCAUGUAAUAACUGCUUAUACCAUGGCAACGUUUGAAUACUUGUUUCUGAUUGGCUUGCAGGGCAUUCCAGAGUGUGCAUUAUUUCCCUAUGGCGCGCGGUAGAAUUUUGAAAACAAAAGUGAAUUGAAAACAUGAAUGGCAUUGUUGAAUUUGAUUUUCAUAAUGGAAAGCUAGGACCGAUGGUUUGGUUAGCUAAACUAAGAAUACUGUUUGGUUACCAUCUAGUAGACUUGCUAGCUACUUGCGUGGAUGCUAAACACAUUUCUAGCAGCAAAUGAACACGUCUAGCGGCAAAUGUCUUAAAUUACAGCCAUGGUAUAGAAGGGACAAUCAACUCAUUGCUCUAUGCGUUCUCUGGAAAAUAAUGCAACUCCGUGGAAGGUCAGUUCCACUCCGCCAGUGUGUCGUUCAUUCGUUUCCAUAGAGUGCAUAGCCUCCUAUCCCUUACAUAAUGAAUACAUGUACAUGUGUCAUAGAGGAGGUGUGAUUAGCGCAGGGGCACUGCACUCCAAGUCACUCUAUGUUGACAGACAAUUCCUCUAGUCAGACAUUCUGUGUCAUUUGAGACCUCUGGCAUGCUGUGUGCCCUUGUGGCUACAACGGUUGAAUAAUAGUGCACUUGAGUGAAACUGCAACUGCUUUAAUGUCUCACAGACGGGACAAACAAAAUAGAAAUGAAACGUUUCAUGUGUGUGUGUGUAUAGUACCCGUUGGGGUGAGCGUACAUCCUCUAAAAGUGGACUUCUAAAUAUUGGCAUGUUGGAGAAAUAAAGAUAAAAAGAAGUGUUAUGGAUGUUAAAUGAAAUGGACACACUUUUUGGGGAGACUGAUGCUACGCAUCCUGAGUGGCACAGCGGUCUAAGGCACUGCAUCGCAGUGCUAGCUGUGUCACUACAGAUCCUGGCUCGAUCCCAGGCUGUGUCGCAGCUGGCUGCGACUAGGAGACCCAAGAGGUGGCUCACAAUUGGCCCAGCAUUGUCCAGGUUAGGCCGGCUUGUCCUUGUCCCAUCGCACCCAGCGACUCCUGUGGCGGGCCGGGCCCAAUGCACGCUGACACGGUCACCAGCUGUACGGUGUGGCUGGCUUCCGGGUUAAGCGAGCAUUGUGUGAAGAAGCAGUGCGGCAAUUGGAUAUCACAAAAA
Molecule: long non-coding RNA, 2827 nt
Filed under: Oncorhynchus mykiss (rainbow trout)
Lineage: Eukaryota; Metazoa; Chordata; Actinopteri; Salmoniformes; Salmonidae
Description: lncRNA (ENSOMYG00000066732.1)
Source: RNAcentral